Molecule: ribosomal RNA, 861 nt
Filed under: uncultured bacterium
Lineage: Bacteria
Description: bacterial SSU rRNA
Rfam family: Bacterial small subunit ribosomal RNA
Source: RNAcentral
AGUUAUUGGGCGUAAANAGCUUGUAGGCGGUUGGUCGCGUCUGCUGUGAAAGGCCGGGGCUUAACUCCGGUUUUGCAGUGGGUACGGGCUAACUAGAGUGCAGUAGGGGAGACUGGAAUUCCUGGUGUAGCGGUGGAAUGCACAGAUAUCAGGAGGAACACCGAUGGCGAAGGCAGGUCUCUGGGCUGUAACUGACGCUGAGAAGCGAAAGCAUGGGGAGCGAACAGGAUUAGAUACCCUGGUAGUCCAUGCCGUAAACGUUGGGCACUAGGUGUGGGGGACAUUCCACGUUUUCCGCGCCGUAGCUAACGCAUUAAGUGCCCCGCCUGGGGAGUACGGCCGCAAGGCUAAAACUCAAAGGAAUUGACGGGGGCCCGCACAAGCGGCGGAGCAUGCGGAUUAAUUCGAUGCAACGCGAAGAACCUUACCAAGGCUUGACAUGCAUUAGAUCGCGUCAGAGAUGGCGUUUCCCUUCGGGGCUGGUGUACAGGUGGUGCAUGGUUGUCGUCAGCUCGUGUCGUGAGAUGUUGGGUUAAGUCCCGCAACGAGCGCAACCCUCGUUCUAUGUUGCCAGCGGUUCGGCCGGGGACUCAUAGGAGACUGCCGGGGUCAACUCGGAGGGAGGUGGGGAUGACGUCAAAUCAUCAUGCCCCUUAUGUCUUGGGCUUCACGCAUGCUACAAUGGCCGGUACAGAGGGUUGCGAUACUGUGAGGUGGAGCUAAUCCCUUAAAGCCGGUCUCAGUUCGGAUUGGGGUCUGCAACUCGACCCCAUGAAGUCGGAGUCGCUAGUAAUCGCAGAUCAGCAACGCUGCGGUGAAUACGUUCCCGGGCCUUGUACACACCGCCCGUCAAGUCACGAA